GAUGAACGCUAGCUACAGGCUUUAAACACAUGCAAGUCGAGGGGCAGCACAGUGUAGCAAUACACGGGUGGCGACCGGCGCACGGGUGCGUAACGCGUAUCCAACCUUCCCGUUACUCAGGGAUAGCCUUCCGAAAGGGAGAUUAAUACCUGAUGGUGUUGAAAUUCCGCAUGUUAUUUCAACUAAAGAUUUAUCGGUAACGGAUGGGGAUGCGUUCCAUUAGGCAGUUGGCGGGGUAACGGCCCACCAAGCCUUCGAUGGAUAGGGGUUCUGAGAGGAAGGUCCCCCACACUGGAACUGAGACACGGUCCAGACUCCUACGGGAGGCAGCAGUGAGGAAUAUUGGUCAAUGGCCGCAAGGCUGAACCAGCCAAGUAGCGUGAGGGAUGACAGCCCUACGGGUUGUAAACCUCUUUUGUCCGGGAAUAAAACGGGGGACGCGUCCCCCCUUGCAUGUACCGGUUGAAUAAGGGCCGGCUAAUUCCGUG
This 488-nucleotide ribosomal RNA is filed under the name uncultured bacterium. RNAcentral describes it as "bacterial SSU rRNA". It matches the Rfam family "Bacterial small subunit ribosomal RNA", at positions 28 to 507 of the family's 1533-position model. The record is from RNAcentral.